AUUCUGACUCUGUCCCCAGUUAUUAACUGGGUGACCUUAGGUUAUGUGUAUAAUGUCUCCGAAUCUAGGUACUUUCAUCUGUAAAUUGAAGAUAAUUAAACCUGCCUCACAAGGUUAUAAUGCAAAUUACUUUAAAUGAUACAAUGUUUAUGAGUGUGCCAAGCAAGCACAAGGUCCUCCAGAAAAAGAAAAAAAGCAGGUGAAAUUCCCAAAUGGAAUUACUGGACAAAAGGGAAUGAAAACCAAAAAGCCAAAUUUUCUUUUUAAAAAAUUGCACUAAUUUACACUAAAACCAGUAGUGCAUGACUGCCUGUUUCCUCACAUCCUCAUGAAAUAUUGAGUUGCAGUGUGGAAAACGAAAAGCACAAACACCAUUAUGGAUACAGUGGCAUAGACCUGGAAAGGCAGCCCAUGAAGGAGGCUGGGGCAACUGUGGAUGACUGGCAGGGAGAGAAGAAGGUUUGGGUAA
Long non-coding RNA from Diceros bicornis minor, 469 nucleotides. RefSeq lists it as uncharacterized. The record is from RefSeq and is a predicted model, not a curated record. NCBI's taxonomy places the organism in Eukaryota, Metazoa, Chordata, Mammalia, Perissodactyla, Rhinocerotidae. The transcript has 3 exons.